Molecule: ribosomal RNA, 458 nt
Filed under: uncultured bacterium
Lineage: Bacteria
Description: SSU rRNA
Rfam family: Bacterial small subunit ribosomal RNA
Source: RNAcentral
AGAAUCAACGCUGGCGGCGUGCCUAACACAUGCAAGUCGAACGAGAAAGUGGAGCAAUCCAUGAGUAAAGUGGCGCACGGGUGAGUAACACGUGACUAACCUACCCUUGAGUGGGGGAUAACCUAGAGAAAUCUGGGCUAAUACCGCAUAAUACCUACGGGUCAAAGGAGCAAUUCGCUUUAGGAGGGGGUCGCGGCCGAUUAGUUAGUUGGCGGGGUAAUGGCCCACCAAGACAGUGAUCGGUAUCCGGCCUGAGAGGGCGCACGGACACACUGGAACUGAAACACGGUCCAGACUCCUACGGGAGGCAGCAGUGGGAAUUUGCGCAAUGGGGGAAACCCUGACGCAGCAACGCCGCGUGGAGGAUGAAGCCCCUUGGGGCGUAAACUCCUUUCGAUCGGGACGAUAAUGACGGUACCGAGAGAAGAAGCCCCGGCUAACUUCGCGCCAGCAGCCGC